UUUCAGUUUGCUUGCAACUGGAGAUGGCGACCGGCGCACGGGUGAGUAACACGUAUCCAACCUGCCGAUAACUCGGGGAUAGCCUUUCGAAAGAAAGAUUAAUACCCGAUGGCAUAAUUAGACCGCAUGGUCUUAUUAUUAAAGAAUUUCGGUUAUCGAUGGGGAUGCGUUCCAUUAGGCAGUUGGUGAGGUAACGGCUCACCAAACCUUCGAUGGAUAGGGGUUCUGAGAGGAAGGUCCCCCACAUUGGAACUGAGACACGGUCCAAACUCCUACGGGAGGCAGCAGUGAGGAAUAUUGGUCAAUGGGCGCAGGCCUGAACCAGCCAAGUAGCGUGAAGGAUGACUGCCCUAUGGGUUGUAAACUUCUUUUAUAUGGGAAUAAAGUUUUCCACGUGUGGAAUUUUGUAUGUACCAUAUGAAUAAGGAUCGGCUAACUCCGUGCCAGCAGCCGCGGUAAUACGGAGGAUCCGAGCGUUAUCCGGAUUUAUUGGGUUUAAAGGGAGCGUAGGUGGACAGUUAAGUCAGUUGUGAAAGUUUGCGGCUCAACCGUAAAAUUGCAGUUGAUACUGGCUGUCUUGAGUACAGUAGAGGUGGGCGGAAUUCGUGGUGUAGCGGUGAAAUGCUUAGAUAUCACGAAGAACUCCGAUUGCGAAGGCAGCUCACUGGACUGCAACUGACACUGAUGCUCGAAAGUGUGGGUAUCAAACAGGAUUAGAUACCCUGGUAGUCCACACAGUAAACGAUGAAUACUCGCUGUUUGCGAUAUACAGUAAGCGGCCAAGCGAAAGCAUUAAGUA
RNAcentral lists this ribosomal RNA (799 nucleotides) under uncultured bacterium. RNAcentral's name for it is "bacterial SSU rRNA". It matches the Rfam family "Bacterial small subunit ribosomal RNA", at positions 70 to 866 of the family's 1533-position model. The record is from RNAcentral.